RNAcentral lists this ribosomal RNA (613 nucleotides) under uncultured bacterium. Its description in RNAcentral is "bacterial SSU rRNA". It matches the Rfam family "Bacterial small subunit ribosomal RNA", at positions 338 to 944 of the family's 1533-position model. The record is from RNAcentral.
CCUACGGGAGGCAGCAGUAGGGAAUCUUCCGCAAUGGACGAAAGUCUGACGGAGCAACGCCGCGUGAACGAUGAAGGCCUUCGGGUCGUAAAGUUCUGUUGUUAGGGAAGAACAAGUGUUAGUUGAAUAAGCUGGCACCUUGACGGUACCUAACCAGAAAGCCACGGCUAACUACGUGCCAGCAGCCGCGGUAAUACGUAGGUGGCAAGCGUUGCCCGGAAUUAUUGGGCGUAAAGCGCGCGCAGGCGGUUUCUUAAGUCUGAUGUGAAAGCCCCCGGCUCAACCGGGGGGGUCAUUGGAAACUGGGAAACUUGAGUGCAGAAGAGGAAAGUGGAAUUCCAAGUGUAGCGGUGAAAUGCGUAGAGAUUUGGAGGAACACCAGUGGCGAAGGCGACUUUCUGGUCUGUAACUGACGCUGAGGCGCGAAAGCGUGGGGAGCAAACAGGAUUAGAUACCCUGGUAGUCCACGCUGUAAACGAUGAGUGCUAAGUGUUAGAGGGUUUCCGCCCUUUAGUGCUGAAGUUAACGCAUUAAGCACUCGCCUGGGGAUACGGUCGCGAGACUGAAACUUAAAUGAAUUGACGGCUGAGAGNGCGAGNGACGACGAGGAGAG